AUUGAACGCUGGCGGCGUGCCUAAUACAUGCAAGUCGAACGGAGUGGCGAACGGGUGAGUAAUGUAUCGGAACGUGCCCAGUAGCGGGGGAUAACUACGCGAAAGCGUAGCUAAUACCGCAUACUUUUGGAGCGGCCGAUCUCGGAUUAGCUAGUGGGGGGGGUAACGGCUCACCAAGGCGACGAUCCGUGGCUGGGUGGAGAGGACGACCAGCCACACUGGGACUGAGACACGGCCCAGACUCCUACGGGAGGCAGCAGUGGGGAAUGUUCGACAAUGGGGGAAACCCUGAUCCAGCCAUCCCGCGUGUGCGAUGAAGGCCUUCGGGUUGUAAAGCACUUUUGGCAGGAAAGCGGUACCUGCAGAAUAAGCACCGGCUAACUACGUGCCAGCCGCCGCGGUAAUAC
RNAcentral lists this ribosomal RNA (407 nucleotides) under uncultured bacterium. RNAcentral describes it as "partial 16S ribosomal RNA". It matches the Rfam family "Bacterial small subunit ribosomal RNA", at positions 30 to 526 of the family's 1533-position model. The record is from RNAcentral.